UACGAAGGGUGCAAGCGUUAAUCGGAAUUACUGGGCGUAAAGGGCUCGUAGGCGGCCAACUAAGUCAGACGUGAAAUCCCCAGGCUCAACCUGGGAACUGCGUCUGAUACUGGAUGGCUUGAAUCCGGGAGAGGGAUGCAGAAUUCCAGGUGUAGCGGUGAAAUGCGUAGAUAUCUGGAGGAAUACCGGUGGCGAAGGCGGCAGCCUGGACCGGCAUUGACGCUGAGGAGCGAAAGCCAGGGGAGCAAACGGG
RNAcentral lists this ribosomal RNA (253 nucleotides) under uncultured bacterium. RNAcentral's name for it is "partial 16S ribosomal RNA". It matches the Rfam family "Bacterial small subunit ribosomal RNA", at positions 524 to 776 of the family's 1533-position model. The record is from RNAcentral.